AUCCCAAUGGAUACAAAUGCCCAGCCAUAGGAAACCUAGCCAUUUGUGGAGUGGUAGUCGCCCGUAUAACGGGGCAAGAACAGGCUAUUAUGGGCAAAUGACUAAAAAUAGACCCUCAGUCGAUCAGCUAGGAAUGAGGAGUCUGAUGAAGGAUGUUUCCUCACCCUACCUCUUGACUGUUCCAUUGGCUGGAAAUUUAUUGUUUGGCCCAGAUGACCCAUGCUUGCAAAUAUAGAAAGUUCAGACCCACGUACCUGCUUGGAAGCCAGAUGAAAAAGACAAAGCUUGUUGGGAACGUGAAUUGCGGAGAUCAGCAUCUCAAAGAAUGGAACAGGUCAUUUAAUGGAACUGUAUGCUUCACGGAGGAGAUUUCAUAAAGAGUUUGUCCUUCUAGAAUGAAUCCUACUCCAGGUUUCCUUAUUACAUCUUGCCGAUGAAAUAAACCCUCCAAAGUUACUCAUUCCAAUAUAAGUGAUGAGGGUGCCCUUCAAUCUGUUACUUAAGAAGAACACCAGAAAACUAAAUGAUU
Long non-coding RNA from Tachyglossus aculeatus (Australian echidna), 529 nucleotides. RefSeq lists it as uncharacterized. The transcript is spliced from 3 exons. The record is from RefSeq and is a predicted model, not a curated record. Lineage: Eukaryota; Metazoa; Chordata; Mammalia; Monotremata; Tachyglossidae.